ACAUCAUUACCCCACAUUCACUUCCUGAAAAGAAACACCUGAACACUUUGCCCACAGGUGCAAGAGGAGGGGGAAGGAGUCAGGAGGGAGCCCUCUAAGUGCAAGCCUGGCUCUACCUCCCUAUAGAAGAGUCCUCAAGAGAGCAGUCAGAGGGAGUGUAUUUCCAUCCACAUUGGCCAGGCUGGUGUCCAGACAGGCAAUUCCUGUUGGGAACUGUAUUGCCUGGAGCAUGGGAUUCAGUCAGAUGGCAUCAUCUCCUCCAUGACAUCCUCAGGGCAGACUCUUCCUUUGGGACUUUCUUCAAUGAGACAGGCUCAGGGAAGCAUGUGCCUAGAGCAGUGUUUGUUGACCUGGAGCCCACUGUCAUUGAUGAGAUCAGGACCGGGACUUACCGCAUGCUCUUCCACCCAGAGCAAAUCAUCAGUGGCAAAGAAGAUGCUGCCAACAACUACGUUCAGGGCCGCUACACCACUGGGAAGGAGAUCAUAGACUCAGUUGUUGAUAGAGCUUGUAAAAUGGUAAUAACACUACAGGGAAGUCCUCUGCACUAGACAGUGGUUGCUGUUGCCCUGACCAUCAAGAGGUGAUGGUGUGGAUGGAUCUUUAUCAGAUUGACCCUGCCACUGUGACCUGGAGUGACGUGAUGAGAUGCACACUGGUGCGUGUUGCCCUUCUUGGGAAACAAGGGGCAGAAGAUCCACCAAGAACUCAUUCCAACCAAUGUCACAGGUCACCUUCUGGUUGGUGUUUUCUCUUUAUGCCUCUUCUUCCCUGUGCAGUCUUCCUGCUGCAGAACUUCAGAAGUGCUGUGAUAACUCUGAAGCAUGCUUGAUUUGGGUAGAAUCUCAUAGUGACCUUCAAAUUUCUCCUGGUCCUAUUGACUGCUGAUGUUAUGAAUCUCUACCUGCCUUACAAUGCCAUGGCCAGGCUCCUCUCUCUACUAAGAAAAAAAGAUAAUUUAUUGUAUUUAACAUUUUUACUAUUAGAAGUAGAAGGAGGGUAAAAGCAGAAGUGAAACUUAGGGCCACAAAUUUCAUGGUUGAAUGCACUACUUCUAGCUUAAGUCUGAUGAAGCCCCAGUAACUUGAUUGUCCUGGCACUUUCUGGUGCUACAGACUGACCAGUGCAGCGGCCUCCAGGGGUUCCUGGUCUUCCACAGCUUUGGGGGAGG
Lagopus leucura (white-tailed ptarmigan) is the source of this 1171-nucleotide long non-coding RNA. RefSeq lists it as uncharacterized. The transcript has 3 exons. The record is from RefSeq and is a predicted model, not a curated record. Lineage: Eukaryota; Metazoa; Chordata; Aves; Galliformes; Phasianidae.